RNAcentral lists this long non-coding RNA (542 nucleotides) under Panax ginseng (ginseng). Its description in RNAcentral is "long non-coding RNA (PGIN_LNC000748)". Lineage: Eukaryota; Viridiplantae; Streptophyta; Magnoliopsida; Apiales; Araliaceae. The record is from RNAcentral.
CAAAAUCCAGAAUACUCUUAACCUCCCUCCCCUUCUUUAUGGGUGUUGUAUACUUUUGAGAACAUUUGCUUCAUCAUUCUAAUUACUACCACAAAAACCAUAGGCUGCCCUUUUUCUGCAGUGUCAACAGCUACACCAUAUUUAGUUCAGAUAUCACUUUAGAUCAACCAAAUGCUAUAGAAGCUGUAAGAUCACCCCUUCAAAAGACCCAAAUGCCCUAUACUAUUUGUUGUAUUUCUCACUAUUGAACCAACUCCAGAACUGCAAAUUUUGAAUUGUCACACCAAGAUCUGGGGGUUUCUUCAACACCCAGUUGUAUAUAAGACAUGUAAGAGAUUGUCUUCCUUCUUGUUCUACUGAAGCUAAUGUGCUUUUUUCCCCAAGAUUCUGUGAUUUUUUUUAAUUUUUUUUUGGUACUUUUUGUGAGUUUUUCAUCUUGAUUUUACAAUUUUCUGAUCUGUUUAUGAUCAAGCCCUAUGGAAAUAAAUUUGAUGGAAAUUGGUUAUGUUAUGGAAGGGUGAUUCUGUGUUGACAUUGUUUUG